UUAGGAAUCUUCCGCAAUGGGCGAAAGCCUGACGGAGCGACACCGCGUGCAGGAUGAAGGCCUUCGGGUUGUAAACUGCUGUCACGCUAUAGGAACCGCUUGGUGUUAACAGCGCCAAGCCUGACUAAAGCGAGAGGAAGCACCGGCUAACUCCGUGCCAGCAGCCGCGGUAAGACGGAGGGUGCAAACGUUGUUCGGAAUCACUGGGCAUAAAGCGCACGUAGGCGGUCCGCUAAGUCAGUUGUGAAAUCCCUCGGCUCAACCGAGGAGCUGCACCUGAUACUGGCGGGCUCGAGAACGGUAGGGGUGAGUGGAACUCCAGGUGGAGCGGUGAAAUGCGUAGAUAUCUGGAGGAACACCGGUGGCGAAGGCGGCUCACUGGACCGUAUCUGACGCUGAGGUGCGAAAGCUAGGGUAGCAAA
This 422-nucleotide ribosomal RNA is filed under the name uncultured bacterium. Its description in RNAcentral is "bacterial SSU rRNA". It matches the Rfam family "Bacterial small subunit ribosomal RNA", at positions 355 to 772 of the family's 1533-position model. The record is from RNAcentral.